Erythranthe guttata (spotted monkey flower) is the source of this 647-nucleotide non-coding RNA. The record is from RefSeq and is a predicted model, not a curated record. NCBI's taxonomy places the organism in Eukaryota, Viridiplantae, Streptophyta, Magnoliopsida, Lamiales, Phrymaceae.
AGAAGAGCUUGCUGGCUCCCUACUAAAAUAUCACGGGAUCCCUAUUUUCAACAUGGACAGUGAGCUCGUCGGAAUCGCGUCGUGGUUCGUAGGUGGUAAAGGAAAGCGUCCUCCGUUUUCGGUGGCUUUUGCGGUGCCUCUCUUGUCAAUCAGGGCGGUGGUGGAAUACGCAAUUACCAAGAAACCCGAUGACCCGAUUGUCAUGGAUAAAUGGAUCGAAGACUCGUGAUACAAUUUAAUGGUGAAACUAUUUUCUUUUGAGGUGUAAAUGGGACAAGAUCUUUUGUGUAUGAUGGCUCAAUUCGAUCUUUUUUGGAAUCGACAGGGUAUCACAAUUACUUGAACGAUCUUUGUAUAUUUCGAGUAACUACUAACUAUCUCAAAUGCAUGUUGCAUGUGCAGUUCUUGAUGUUAUCCUAAUCUUAGAUUAGUAUUUUCAAUCGUCUCCGUUUAAUGGUUAUUUCGAAGUAAUCGGAGUACGUUGAGAUGAAUGUUUAUCUUCGUGGUGCAUAUGUUUGAUUAAGUUUUCGAUAAUUUUUAUUUAUUUUUCUGUAUGUACCAUUUUUCUCUUGAGGUCAAGUAUGAGGUACCAGUAAAAAGGAUGCAAUGAAGGCAUUUAUUUUGAUGUAAAGGUGACAGGUCGUUAU